This is a long non-coding RNA of Poecile atricapillus (Black-capped chickadee), 550 nucleotides long. RefSeq lists it as uncharacterized. The record is from RefSeq and is a predicted model, not a curated record. The transcript has 3 exons. Lineage: Eukaryota; Metazoa; Chordata; Aves; Passeriformes; Paridae.
CCGUGUACCUUCCCAUUGCAUCUUAAAGUAACACACGUACCAAAGGGGAAAAAACACCACCCCACAGCAGCCCCUAAGUCUGAAAUGUAAAUGUAAUUCCUUAUAUAGACUGCAGCAGCUGGUCACACACGCACGGAGAGCGGAGCGGGGGCCCCCGGCCAAACCGUUACCACCCAUUAUUAUACAAACAGUGCUCGCCCGGAACCUUGUUGCCACGGGAGACGGGCGCUUUACGGCAGCGCAUUUGAACGGCGGCGGGGGAAAAGUUGCGGCCGCAGGAUUGAGCGAGAAGGAAACAGCUGGAGCACAGUGACGCCGUUCCCACCGUACGUGAAAAAUGCCGCACUCGGGCUUUCCUUAGUCAUACUUCCCGGUUUUACGAAGAGGAGGAGAGGUAUAAAAUUCUGUGCCGUAAAAAAUAAAGAGAAGAGAGCAAUCUUUCAGGGAUAGUUAAUAAGCAACAUCUGUUGUGCUUAAUGAAUUUAUUUAAUGUAUUAAAAAUUAAAACCAUCAAACACUUGUACUAUUUAUUUACUCUUGCUUUUCACUU